CUCUUCAUCUUCUCUUCUGGUCACUGCUGUGGUUGUGGGAUCGAGUGUUUUCUUGUUGAUCUUCAUCUCUCUGCUGCUGCUGUGGAGAUACAAGAAGAACAAAGAUCAGCAGCGUAACAUUAACCAGACAUCAGUCCCAAAUCAAUCUGCAGAAUCUCAACCAGAAAACUUUCCUCUACAGUCUGGACCCAGUGAUCUGGUUUAUGCUCAGAUUGAUUUACAGGACAAAAAGAAGACCAAGGUCAAAG
Molecule: long non-coding RNA, 248 nt
Organism: Carassius auratus (goldfish)
Lineage: Eukaryota; Metazoa; Chordata; Actinopteri; Cypriniformes; Cyprinidae
Exons: 3
Source: RefSeq, a predicted model, not a curated record